This 68-nucleotide transfer RNA is filed under the name Stegodyphus mimosarum. It matches the Rfam family "tRNA". From Rfam's summary of the family: Transfer RNA (tRNA) molecules are approximately 80 nucleotides in length. Their secondary structure includes four short double-helical elements and three loops (D, anti-codon, and T loops). Lineage: Eukaryota; Metazoa; Arthropoda; Arachnida; Araneae; Eresidae. The record is from Rfam by way of RNAcentral.
GCCUUCGUGGUGUAGUGGUCAGCACGCUCGACGCGUAACCGUCCGUGGUUCGAAUCCCGGCGACGGCA